Non-coding RNA from Pogona vitticeps (central bearded dragon), 562 nucleotides. The record is from RefSeq and is a predicted model, not a curated record. Lineage: Eukaryota; Metazoa; Chordata; Lepidosauria; Squamata; Agamidae.
UAGAAUUUUCCCUAACUGUACCAAAACAAGGUUGAUGUCUUAAACUGCUUAAUUUCAGUCUGUCACGUUCUUCAGCUUUUCUGGUCAUGGAUUCUGUGCACUGCAGUCUACAGUGUAUUUUCGGUAUCUUUGUCUAUCAAUACUUGAACAUAUUUUUGUAUUUCAAAUCCAUGGCACAGUGUUCAAAAUGCCACUAUUCUUCCUUUUUCCUUUUUUUCUUCGGUUUUCCUUCCUUUUUUUCCUUCCUACCUAGGAAAGCCAUUCUUUUUUUUAGAACUGAAAAGAUCCAAAUCCACCAUCUCACAGAAGGAUUUCAGGAGCAAGGUGAAACAGAGACUGCCAGAGCGUUGGAAGAAUGGCGAAGGGUCUGCAGGAGUCCCCAAUUUCCAUUAUGGGGGUGGUGGCCAAGCUGCAAAACCCACAAAAAGAUGGACAACAGCAAGCGCAACACGCCCACCUAUGAGCGCAGGAGAGACCAGCCUGUCCCCUUCGUACUGUCCUUCCACUGGAACAAGUGUUAACGUGUGUAUCAGGUCUUCUGUCAACACAAAGAAAAGACCUU